AACGAACGCUGGCGGCAUGCCUAACACAUGUAAGUCGAACGAGAACUUCGGGUCUUGUGGCCACAGGUUGCGUAACGAGUGGGAACCUGCCCUUUAGCUCGGAAUCACUCCCCGCAAUGGGUGCUAAUACCGGAUUAUGUCUUCGGCUAAAAGAUUUAUUGCUUUUGGAUGGGCCCGCGGUGUAUUUGAUAGUUGGUAGGGUAAAAGCCUACCAAGCCGACGAUUCAUAGCUGGUCUGAGAGGAUGAUCAGCCACACUAGGACUGAGACACGGCCCAGACUCCUACGGUAGGCAGCAGUGGGGAAUAUUGGACAAUGGGCGAGAGCCUGAUCCAGCAAUGCCGCGUGAGGGAAGAAGGCCUUAGGGUUGUAAAGCUCUUUUACCCGGUAUGAUAAUGACAGUACCGUGAGAAUAAGCACCGGCUAACUCCGUG
RNAcentral lists this ribosomal RNA (433 nucleotides) under uncultured bacterium. RNAcentral describes it as "partial 16S ribosomal RNA". It matches the Rfam family "Bacterial small subunit ribosomal RNA", at positions 29 to 507 of the family's 1533-position model. The record is from RNAcentral.